This is a long non-coding RNA of Malus domestica (apple), 357 nucleotides long. RefSeq lists it as uncharacterized. NCBI's taxonomy places the organism in Eukaryota, Viridiplantae, Streptophyta, Magnoliopsida, Rosales, Rosaceae. The record is from RefSeq and is a predicted model, not a curated record.
CUCAGUCUCAGGCUCUCAGCUCAGUCUCACUCAAAUCCAACUCUGGCCAGCCAUUGACCGACCCACCACCACACGCGAAUCAUCCCUCGCCGUCUCUCCCUUCCUUCACGAUACAGAGUCACAGCCACCACCGGUCUGAGGUCUCUCUCUCACGAUUCUCUCUAUCGCGACUCUCUCUCGUGAUUCUCUCUCUCAGGAGUCUCCGACUCUCUCACGCGAUUCUAUCUCUUAGAUUCAGAGUCUCAGACACAGGAUGUAACUGCAACAAAAGGAAAUGAGUUUGAGGACUACUUUCUGAAACGUGAACUGCUGAUGGGAAUAUAUGAGAAGGGAUUUGAAAGACCAUCUCCUAUUCAA